UGUGAAGCUAAAUCUACAGCAAAUAUUUGCUUUUCUGGUUCUGGCUGUGACAGUAAUUCAGGAAUCCAAUCAAGACAAAUAUGCAUGGAUGGAAUACCAGUAACUGUAAUGGGUAACAGCUCUCUUGGAUAACCCUAUAAGUAAAGAAAUAUGGAAGAAUAUGUAGAGCGGACAAAGGAGAGAUAACAGAACUGAUUCAAAGUCUGGAUUUAUUUCAGAGAAAAGAACCUGACUCUAAAUGCGAGAAGAGCAAAGGUAAACGAAAUUCAAGGGGGCAGAGGAUAGAAAAAUGAAGGAGGAAAAAUGGAAAUGGGAGCAGGAAGUUCGUGUUAGAGAAAGGGUUAGGAAGACGGCGGCGGUAAUGAGGCAAGUAUGUGGAGAGGGGGGAGGGAGAGAUUUGCUGGAAAACAGGAUAUUCGGAAAGAGCUAGUCGAAUAUAAGUAUAUAAUUAUACGAUAAAUUGGUCCUGACGAUAGCAGGAAAUGAAGCGAAGGUAUGGGGGUAGAAGGAGAGAACAGAGGUAAAGAGCUUACAUGAAAGGUGUAUGGCCAGUGUGGAAUGAAACACGCCAGGACAUUUAAUAAGAGAAAAGUUAAAAGGAGACAAGAUGUGAUUGAGAGCAUGAAUGAGGGCAUGGAGGUUUGAAGAAAGGCUGAAGAGAGAGCAGGGUGGAGAUUUGACAAGAAUAUGUCUGGAGGAGGUCAGAAGUAGAGAAGAAGCGGGUAGUGGAAAGGAUAGAUAUAUGGGGGAAAGGGAGAUUGCAUGAAAGAAAAUGGGAAGUGCUAUGUGGGUGAAUGAAGAAAGGGAGGAUGGGGAGAGGGAAAGGCUAGAGAGAGAGAGAGAGAGAGAGAGAGAGAGAGAGAGAGAGAGAGAGAGAGAGAAAGACUUGAAGAAUGAAGGGAGGGGCGGGGAAAGAGAGAAAGAGCGAGAGGGGGGGACGGGUUGGAAAGAACAGUAAAGUUCAAAGUAGGGAGCGAGAUUAGAGAUGGGAAAUAGUGGCUAAGGAAAGAGAAAAAGGAACGCAGGUUAUAUGGAGGAAUGAUGCAGACAAGGGAGCGUGUGUGGGAGGUUUGUGAAGGGUACGAGACAGAUUCAGGGGUUUGACAGGAAAAUGUGGUGAAAAUAUUGGAAAAGGAGGGUGAGGAGGAAGAGUAGAUGUAGAACUUGAAAGAGAAGAGGAUGGAGAGGAUGGGGGGCGGGGGGGUUGAGAAAAGAGAGGCGGAUAGAUGUAGCUUGAAGUGAUUAGUCAGAAGAAAAUAAAGAAUAAGAAUAAUUAAAAAAUAAAGAAUAAAAGAAUAGGAAUAAUUGAUUAAUAAUAUAUUAAUUGCAAGUAGGGUAAGAUUAAGAUGAAUUUUAAACUUAGGUUAAGUUAAUGAAUUUAGUGCUAAGGUAGAGAUAAGGUUUAUAUAAUAAAGUUUAUAAGUAGGUAAUAUUAUACCUGUAAUGUAUACAUGGUCGUAUAUAUAUGUUGUGUGUGUGUGUGUGUGUGUGUGUGCGCGCGCGCGCGCGCGCGCGCGCGCGCGCGUGUGUAUUAUGAUAAUGAUAUGUCAGUAAUUAAUAUUCAAUGUUUAACAUUUUAAUAAGUAAAAAUAAAAAUAAGCAAAUUUGGUUGUACAUACUUGAAAAUGAACCAAUUUAGCCAAUGAUGGGUCUGCUAUGAAGACUUGAUGCAAAUAUGAACAGAUUAUACUU
Molecule: long non-coding RNA, 1692 nt
Organism: Bombus huntii
Lineage: Eukaryota; Metazoa; Arthropoda; Insecta; Hymenoptera; Apidae
Exons: 2
Source: RefSeq, a predicted model, not a curated record